GCAUAUCAAUAAGCGGAGGAAAAGAAACCAACAGGGAUUGCCCUUAGUAACGGCGAAGUGAAGCGGCAACAGCUCAAAUUUGAAAUCUGGCUCUUUUAGGGUCCGAAGUUGUAAUUUGCAGAGGGCGCUUUGGCGUUGGCAGCGGUCCAAGUUCCUUGGAACAGGACGUCACAGAGGGUGAGAAUCCCGUACGUGGUCGCUGGCCUUCGCCGUGUAAAGCCUCUUCGACGAGUCGAGUUGUUUGGGAAUGCAGCUCUAAAUGGGAGGUAAAUUUCUUCUAAAGCUAAAUACUGGCCAGAGACCGAUAGCGCACAAGUAGAGUGAUCGAAAGAUGAAAAGCACUUUGGAAAGAGAGUCAAAUAGCACGUGAAAUUGUUAAAAGGGAAGCGCUUGCAGCCAGACUUGCCCGUAGUUGCUCAUCCAGGCUUUUGCCUGGUGCAUUCUUCUAUGGGCAGGCCAGCAUCAGUUUGGGCGGUUGGAUAAAGGUCUCUGUCAUGUACCUCCUUUCGGGGAGGCCUUAUAGGGGAGACGACAUGCAACCAGCCUGGACUGAGGUCCGCGCAUUCGCUAGGAUGCUGGCGUAAUGGCUGUAAGCGGCCCGUCUUGAAACACGGACCAAGGAGUCUAACAUCUAUGCGAGUGUUUGGGUGUCAAGCCCGAACGCGCAAUGAAAGUGAACGGAGGUGGGAACCCUUAAGGGUGCACCAUCGACCGAUCCUGAUGUCUUCGGAAGGAUUUGAGUAAGAGCAUAGCUGUUGGGACCCGAAAGAUGGUGAACUAUGCUUGAAUAGGGUGAAGCCAGAGGAAACUCUGGUGGAGGCUCGCAGCGGUUCUGACGUGCAAAUCGAUCGUCAAAUUUGGGCAUAGGGGCGAAAGACUAAUCGAACUAUCUAGUAGCUGGUUCUGC
This 907-nucleotide ribosomal RNA is filed under the name Leptosphaeria doliolum subsp. doliolum. RNAcentral's name for it is "partial large subunit ribosomal RNA". It matches the Rfam family "Eukaryotic large subunit ribosomal RNA", at positions 38 to 960 of the family's 3401-position model. Lineage: Eukaryota; Fungi; Ascomycota; Dothideomycetes; Pleosporales; Leptosphaeriaceae. The record is from RNAcentral.